UGGCGGCGAGUGGCGAACGGGUGAGUAAUAUAUCGGAACGUACCCUGGAGUGGGGGAUAACGUAGCGAAAGUUACGCUAAUACCGCAUACGAUCCAAGGAUGAAAGCAGGGGACCGCAAGGCCUUGUGCUCCUGGAGCGGCCGAUAUCUGAUUAGCUAGUUGGUGGGGUAAAGGCCCACCAAGGCAUCGAUCAGUAGCUGGUCUGAGAGGACGACCAGCCACACUGGAACUGAGACACGGUCCAGACUCCUACGGGAGGCAGCAGUGGGGAAUUUUGGACAAUGGGCGCAAGCCUGAUCCAGCAAUGCCGCGUGAGUGAAGAAGGCCUUCGGGUUGUAAAGCUCUUUUGUCAGGGAAGAAACGGCUGUGGCUAAUAUCCAUGGCUAAUGACGGUACCUGAAGAAUAAGCACCGGCUAACUACGUGCCAGCAGCCGCGGUAAUACGUAGGGUGCAAGCGUUAAUCGGAAUUACUGGGCGUAAAGCGUGCGCAGGCGGUUUUGUAAGACUGUCGUGAAAUCCCCGGGCUCAACCUGGGAAUGGCGAUGGUGACUGCAAGGCUAGAGUUUGGCAGAGGGGGGUAGAAUUCCACGUGUAGCAGUGAAAUGCGUAGAUAUGUGGAGGAACACCGAUGGCGAAGGCAGCCCCCUGGGUCAAAACUGACGCUCAUGCACGAAAGCGUGGGGAGCAAACAGGAUUAGAUACCCUGGUAGUCCACGCCCUAAACGAUGUCUACUAGUUGUCGGGUCUUAAUUGACUUGGUAACGCAGCUAACGCGUGAAGUAGACCGCCUGGGGAGUACGGUCGCAAGAUUAAAACUCAAAGGAAUUGACGGGGACCCGCACAAGCGGUGGAUGAUGUGGAUUAAUUCGAUGCAACGCGAAAAACCUUACCUACCCUUGACAUGGAAGGAAUCCCUGAGAGAUUGGGGAGUGCCCGAAAGGGAACCUUUACACAGGUGCUGCAUGGCUGUCGUCAGCUCGUGUCGUGAGAUGUUGGGUUAAGUCCCGCAACGAGCGCAACCCUUGUCAUUAGUUGCUACGAAAGGGCACUCUAAUGAGACUGCCGGUGACAAACCGGAGGAAGGUGGGGAUGACGUCAAGUCCUCAUGGCCCUUAUGGGUAGGGCUUCACACGUCAUACAAUGGUACAUACAGAGGGCCGCCAACCCGCGAGGGGGAGCUAAUCCCAGAAAGUGUAUCGUAGUCCGGAUUGUAGUCUGCAACUCGACUACAUGAAGUUGGAAUCGCUAGUAAUCGCGGAUCAGCAUGUCGCGGUGAAUACGUUCCCGGGUCUUGUACACACCGCCCGUCACACCA
Molecule: ribosomal RNA, 1316 nt
Filed under: Oxalobacteraceae bacterium
Lineage: Bacteria; Pseudomonadati; Pseudomonadota; Betaproteobacteria; Burkholderiales; Oxalobacteraceae
Description: bacterial SSU rRNA
Rfam family: Bacterial small subunit ribosomal RNA
Source: RNAcentral